UUAUGAGUGGUGUUUGUUGGAUGUCAGUGCAAACGCAACAGUUUUGUAAAAUACCCAAUUUUACAGGUCUGUUGCGUGUGCUUUGUUAUCAAAUAAGAAAUGGUUGGGCGCACAUGAACCCUCUUUUAUUAGAGAAAUUACAGCGUAAGCUGGGUUAUACCUUUA
This 165-nucleotide small RNA is filed under the name Providencia rustigianii. RNAcentral describes it as "rncO". It matches the Rfam family "rncO". Rfam says of the family: This family represents a bacterial regulatory element (rncO) found in the rnc leader sequence. The rnc operon is negatively auto-regulated by transcript stability. rnc, the first gene in the operon codes for RNase III which cleaves the long rncO stem II leading to transcript degradation and a reduction in translation. The record is from RNAcentral. Lineage: Bacteria; Pseudomonadati; Pseudomonadota; Gammaproteobacteria; Enterobacterales; Morganellaceae.